Molecule: long non-coding RNA, 408 nt
Filed under: Olea europaea (common olive)
Lineage: Eukaryota; Viridiplantae; Streptophyta; Magnoliopsida; Lamiales; Oleaceae
Description: long non-coding RNA (OEUR_LNC003268)
Source: RNAcentral
UAAAUCCAAAUGGAAAAUGAAAGUUGUUCAAAAGUCGUUGACAAACAAAUUAUACACUUGUAUUUCACAUCCAAGAAGGUCACAUUGUCAAAUGUGCUUCAUGUUCCGGACAUGAAUUUAAAUCUUCUAAACUGGAUAUUGAGUCCAAUUGGCAAAUGAUCAUAUAUCUUCACAAUAUUAGCUGUUAUACCAAUUCUUCGUUGAAGAUCUCUUUUGGACAUGGAAUAACCCCACUAUCUUAGCUCCCUUCAUUCAGACACAAUUCAAUGUUUCUUACUAAAAGAUUUAAAUUAUCUCCAUUAUUUUUAUCGUUGUUGAUUUCAUCCCAUAACUUCCGGUCUUUUCCUUGCACAACACAAAUACAUUUGUGAUCUCCUCCACUGCACAAACAUGAGCCAAAGAAUACAC